CCAGCUCCAAUAGCGUAUAUUAAAGUUGUUGCAGUUAAAAAGCUCGUAGUUGAAUUUUGGGCCGGGCUGGAUGGUCUCGCCGCAAGGUGAGCACUGUUCGGUCUGGCCUCUCCUUCUGGAGAGCUAUCGUGCUCUUAAUUGAGUGCGAUAGGGAUCCAGGACUUUUACUUUGAAAAAAUUAGAGUGUUCAAAGCAGGCUUACGCCUGAAUACAUUAGCAUGGAAUAAUAGAAUAGGACUUUGGUUCUAUUUUGUUGGUUUCUAGGACCAAAGUAAUGAUUAAUAGGGAUAGUUGGGGGCAUUAGUAUUUAAUUGUCAGAGGUGAAAUUCUUGGAUUUAUUGAAGACUAACUUCUGCGAAAGCAUUUGCCAAGGAUGUUUUCA
Molecule: ribosomal RNA, 382 nt
Filed under: uncultured Chytridiaceae
Lineage: Eukaryota; Fungi; Chytridiomycota; Chytridiomycetes; Chytridiales; Chytridiaceae
Description: SSU rRNA
Rfam family: Eukaryotic small subunit ribosomal RNA
Source: RNAcentral